GGACUACUAGGGUUUCUAAUCCUGUUUGCUCCCCACGCUUUCGUGCCUCAGCGUCAGUUAUGGGCCAGUGAGCCGCCUUCGCCACUGGUGUUCUUGCGAAUAUCUACGAAUUUCACCUCUACACUCGCAGUUCCACUCACCUCUCCCAUACUCAAGACUUCCAGUAUCAAGGGCAGUUCUGGAGUUGAGCUCCAGGAUUUCACCCCUGACUUAGAAACCCGCCUACGCACCCUUUACGCCCAGUGAUUCCGAGCAACGCUAGCCCCCUUCGUAUUACCGCGGCUGCUGGCAC
Molecule: ribosomal RNA, 292 nt
Filed under: uncultured bacterium
Lineage: Bacteria
Description: partial 16S ribosomal RNA
Source: RNAcentral